AGCGAACGCUGGCGGCGUGCCUAACACAUGCAAGUCGAACGUGAAAAGGGAAACCUGAGUAAAGUGGCGUACGGGUGAGUAACGCGUAGGUAAUCUACCCCAGAAUCUGGAAUAACCUGCCGAAAGGCGGGCUAAUACUGGAUAGAGCGAGGGAACUCGUAAGAGAGUUUUUCGGGAAAGGGAGCCCGCAAGGGCCUUCGUUCUGGGAUGAGCCUGCGUCUCAUUAGCUAGUUGGUAAGGUAACGGCUUACCAAGGCGAUGAUGAGUAGCUGGUCUGAGAGGAGGACCGGCCAACUGGGACCUGAACCACGGCCAAAACUCCUAGGGGAGGCAGCGGGGGGAAUCUUGCGCAAUGGACGAAAGUCUGACGCAGCCACGCCGCGUGAGUGAAGAAGGCCUUCGGGUUGUAAAGCUCUGUCGGAUGGGACGAACAUCUUCAUAGUGAAUAGCUAUGAGGACUGACGGUACCAUCAAAGGAAGCACCGGCUAACUCCGUG
This 497-nucleotide ribosomal RNA is filed under the name uncultured bacterium. Its description in RNAcentral is "partial 16S ribosomal RNA". It matches the Rfam family "Bacterial small subunit ribosomal RNA", at positions 29 to 507 of the family's 1533-position model. The record is from RNAcentral.